UACGAGGGGGGCUAAUGUUGUUCGGAAUCACUGGGCGUAAAGGGAGCGUAGGCGGGCUUCUAAGUUAGGUGUUUAAUCCCAGGGCCCAACCCUGGUCGUGCACUUAAAACUGGGAGUCUUGAAUAGUGGAGAGGUCAGUGGAAUUGGGGGUGUAGCGGUGGAAUGCGUAGAGAUCCGGAAGAACACCAGUGGCGAAGGCGGCUCACUGGCCCGGUACUGACGCUGAGGUGCGAAAGCGUGGGGAGCAAACAGG
This 253-nucleotide ribosomal RNA is filed under the name uncultured bacterium. Its description in RNAcentral is "partial 16S ribosomal RNA". It matches the Rfam family "Bacterial small subunit ribosomal RNA", at positions 524 to 776 of the family's 1533-position model. The record is from RNAcentral.